CCCCCUUGUGGUCGGUGUACAGGUGGUGCAUGGCUGUCGUCAGCUCGUGUCGUGAGAUGUUGGGUUAAGUCCCGCAACGAGCGCAACCCUUGUCCUGUGUUGCCAGCAUGCCCUUCGGGGUGAUGGGGACUCACAGGAGACCGCCGGGGUCAACUCGGAGGAAGGUGGGGACGACGUCAAGUCAUCAUGCCCCUUAUGUCUUGGGCUGCACACGUGCUACAAUGGCCGGUACAAUGAGCUGCGAUACCGUGAGGUGGAGCGAAUCUCAAAAAGCCGGUCUCAGUUCGGAUUGGGGUCUGCAACUCGACCCCAUGAAGUCGGAGUUGCUAGUAAUCGCAGAUCAGCAUUGCUGCGGUGAAUACGUUCCCGGGCCUUGUACACACCGCCCGUCACGUCACGAAAGUUGGUAACACCCGAAGCCGGUGGCCCAACCCCUUGUGGGAGGGAGCUGUCGAAGGUGGGACUAGC
RNAcentral lists this ribosomal RNA (468 nucleotides) under Streptomyces sp. RNAcentral's name for it is "bacterial SSU rRNA". It matches the Rfam family "Bacterial small subunit ribosomal RNA", at positions 1016 to 1472 of the family's 1533-position model. Lineage: Bacteria; Bacillati; Actinomycetota; Actinomycetes; Kitasatosporales; Streptomycetaceae. The record is from RNAcentral.